Molecule: long non-coding RNA, 541 nt
Filed under: Olea europaea (common olive)
Lineage: Eukaryota; Viridiplantae; Streptophyta; Magnoliopsida; Lamiales; Oleaceae
Description: long non-coding RNA (OEUR_LNC013943)
Source: RNAcentral
AGGAGCCUAAUACAAUCUACUGUUUGUUUUCUGUACCGGCUCCCAAAAACCAUUUGACAACCAUAUUCUUCUUCAGCUGAUCUGUAUGUGACAUAUUUCCAUGUUCUCUUCAUUAAUUUUGGGUCCCAUGUUAAUUGAUCUUGCGUUUCAUUUGUAAAAGUUUGGGUAUGAGGAUUGAGAUUCUUGACUGCAUUAUUACAUUAUUCACCUACAAUCUACUGUUCGUUUUCUGUACCGGCUCCCCAAAACCAUUUUACAACCAUUCUUCUUGAGCUGAUAUUUCCAUGUCCUCUUCAUUAAUUUUGGGGUCCCAUGUUAAUUGAUCGUGCAUUUCAUUUGUAAAAGUUUGGGUAUGAGUAUCGAGAUUCUUGAUUGCAUUAUUACAUUAUUCACCUGUACAGGUAAUAUUUAGCUGAUCUGUCCAAAGAAUGGGAGUUGUAGAGUUGGGCGAUGCCCUUACCAGACAUCAAUUGUACUGAUUUUGUAGAUGGAUAUAUUUAGAAGUUAAUCUUAAAAUUAGUUGAUACAAUUGAGAUCCCUU